RNAcentral lists this ribosomal RNA (608 nucleotides) under uncultured crenarchaeote. RNAcentral's name for it is "bacterial SSU rRNA". It matches the Rfam family "Archaeal small subunit ribosomal RNA", at positions 80 to 675 of the family's 1478-position model. The record is from RNAcentral. Lineage: Archaea; Thermoproteati; Thermoproteota.
CGAUUACUGCUCAGUAACACGUAGCUAACCUAACCUCAAGACGGAAACAACCCCGGGAAACUGGGGCCAAUUUCCGAUAGAUGUGAAAUCCUGGAAUGGUAUCACAUUCAAACGUCACCACACCAUGUUUGCGAACGCUUGAGGAUGGGGCUGCGGCCGAUCAGGCUGUUGGUGAGGUAAUGGCUCACCAAACCUUUGACCGGUACGGGCCAUGAGAGUGGUAGCCCGGAGAUGGACACUGAGACAAGGGUCCAGGCCCUAAGGGGCGCAGCAACCGCGAAACCUCCACAAUGCACUCACGUGCGAUGGGGCUAUCUCGAGUGCCACCUGAUGAAGGUGGCUUUUCCUUGGUCUUCAAAGCCUUGGGAAUAAGAGGGGGGCAAGACUGGUGUCAGCCGCCGCGGUAACACCAGCCCCUCGAGUGGUGGGGAUGAUUAUUUGGCCUAAAGCGUCCGUAGCCGGCCGAGCAAGUCUUCCGUUAAAUCCAGCGUCUCAAGCGUUGGACCGCGGGAGAUACUACACGGCUAGAGAGUGGGAGAGGUCAGCGGUAUUCUGGGGGUAGGGGCGAAAUCCUUUGAUCCCCGGAGGACCACCAGUGGCGAAGGCUG